CCUUACUAUAAGUGUUGUCUAAAUUACUGGUGCCAGAAGACUCGGUAACACCAGAAACGCGAACGUUAGUCGUCUUAAACAGGCGUAAAGGGUAAGUAGGCUGCUUUAAAUUUUCUAUUUUUAAACUAAAUUUACUUUUAAGUAAAUAAGCUCUAAAUUUAAUAAAUAAAAAUAAAAUUUUCAACUCGCAAUCCUCAGGAUUUUUAUGAGAAAAUUAAAUAAAUUUGACCUGUAAUUUUAUUAAGAUCAGUAAAAAUAGAAUAAAUUAAAGCUAGAAUCAUAAUGGAGAUAAACCAAAUAAUACUUAUGUGUAAGGAUGAUAUCUAAAGAUACUAAGUAGAAUA
This 344-nucleotide ribosomal RNA is filed under the name Cyclocybe aegerita. RNAcentral describes it as "partial small subunit ribosomal RNA". Lineage: Eukaryota; Fungi; Basidiomycota; Agaricomycetes; Agaricales; Hemipholiotaceae. The record is from RNAcentral.